This is a long non-coding RNA of Lates calcarifer (barramundi perch), 430 nucleotides long. RefSeq lists it as uncharacterized. The record is from RefSeq and is a predicted model, not a curated record. The transcript has 3 exons. Lineage: Eukaryota; Metazoa; Chordata; Actinopteri; Centropomidae.
AGAUGUGCUCCCCCUGCUUGGAGACAGUGGCUUGGUACAUACGGGACAGCUCCAAACUCCUGAUGACUCCAGUGUGCUCACGAGGUGACCUGGUAGCCAUGUGUACCUGUGUAAGAGGAGAAGUUUGGGAACGUUGGCAAGUUUAUUCCUGAGUACCUUGGUUAUGGCAGAGCACAUCAGCAACAAACUGAUCCCUGUUACACUGAAUUACAUCACUGCUGCCAGCGAGGUGGGAGGAGAAGUACUGCAUCAUGCCUGAUCGCUGGUACCAGCGGUGUAAAGGAGUUUGGUGUCUAUGAGCAGCUCCAACGACAGGAAAAGCACCACCAGGAUGACACAGGCCACCAGGAUACAGUUGAAGCCAGCACUGAGCAGACAGACCUGCCACAGGGCCACUCGACGACCGCAGCAUGGCUUCAGCCAGUUGGAC